Molecule: non-coding RNA, 125 nt
Organism: Hordeum vulgare subsp. vulgare (domesticated barley)
Lineage: Eukaryota; Viridiplantae; Streptophyta; Magnoliopsida; Poales; Poaceae
Source: Rfam
CAUGUACUUCCUUCGUUCGGAAUUACUUAUCACAGAAAUAGAUGUAUCUAGACGUAUUUUCGUUCUAUAUACAUUUAUUUUUAUCCAUUUUUACGACAAGUAAUUCGAGAAGAAGGGAGUAUUUC